This 484-nucleotide ribosomal RNA is filed under the name uncultured bacterium. Its description in RNAcentral is "partial 16S ribosomal RNA". It matches the Rfam family "Bacterial small subunit ribosomal RNA", at positions 30 to 507 of the family's 1533-position model. The record is from RNAcentral.
AUUGAACGCUGGCGGCAGGCCUAACACAUGCAAGUCGAGCGGAUGAAGGGAGCUUGCUCCUGGAUUCAGCGGCGGACGGGUGAGUAAUGCCUAGGAAUCUGCCUGGUAGUGGGGGAUAACGUCCGGAAAUGGGCGCUAAUACCGCAUACGUCCUGAGGGUGUAAGUGGGGGAUCUUCGGACCUCACGCUAUCAGAUGAGCCUAGGUCGGAUUAGCUAGUUGGUGGGGUAAAGGCCUACCAAGGCGACGAUCCGUAACUGGUCUGAGAGGAUGAUCACUCACACGGGAACUGAGACACGGUCCAGACUCCUACGGGAGGCAGCAGUGGGGAAUAUUGGACAAUGGGCGAAAGCCUGAUCCAGCCAUGCCGCGUGUGGGAAGAAGGUCUUCGGAUUGUAAAGCACUGUAAGUUGGGAGGAAGGGCAGUAAGUUAAUACCUUGCUGUUUUGACGUUACCAACAGAAUAAGCACCGGCUAACUUCGUG